ACUAUCUUAGCAUGUAAUCUUUCAUCCACCAAAAUCCGGCGUAGCUCUAAUUAUUUGGCUUCUUUCUUCAUAGAUAGAUUAACAACUAAUCUACGACUGUUAAGUGUGUUAGGGAACAACGACGUGCCUUAAUUUUUUAUGAUAAGAAAAUGAACGUUUCGAAUUGCAGUGGAUUUACAACAAGAUAUCUAUAUUACUUUUUUUAGAUGGAUCACCAUUGGAUAUAAGAGAGAGAUCUCACGAAUCCGACGAAGUCUUCAUCUCUGACGAAACCGAAGAACUCUCAUUAGAACAUGGUUGCCUCAAAACCGCAGCCUGCGACGCUGCCAAAGGAACGUGUCAAAGGGCAGCUUGCACUGUGCUACAGAAGAAGAUCAAAGGAGGAUGCACAGGCAGUGUGUGUCAGUGCUGUGCCCCCAGAGGUUGUGACCCUCAACCUAAAUGCAAGAAAUUUGGUGGAUUUUGUGCCCUAGCGUGCGGGCCCGGCCUGCAAGUGCUCCCAGGGGGCUGCACCGGAACGUGCAGCUGCUGUG
This is a non-coding RNA of Procambarus clarkii (red swamp crayfish), 533 nucleotides long. The record is from RefSeq and is a predicted model, not a curated record. NCBI's taxonomy places the organism in Eukaryota, Metazoa, Arthropoda, Malacostraca, Decapoda, Cambaridae.